CGGAGCCGCGCGCACGCCUGCGCUCGCUGCUCGCCCUCCAGCAGCAGCCCUUCUUCAAGGACUUCUCCUUCCUCGACGCCAGAUCCAAGAAGUUUCAUCCACUCCAAAUAUUGGAAAAAUACUUUCCUGAUGGGCCUGUAACAUCAUCUGACUUUGUGUCAGAUGAUACUUCAUUUAGAGAUUUUUCUCCAGACUCAAAAUGAUGGUAUUUUGAUCUGUGUUUCCUUCAGAAGUGGCAGUUCUGCAUCAAUAAGGAGGUAUCAUUUAUUUUUAUGUAAUCAUACAAUACAAACAGUUUCUGCACUAUGGACAGAAAUUGUCAUCUGUGAAUACAAGAAGUUACCAAAAGAACUUUUAGGUACUAACAAAGUGUAACUUUUGUCAAUUAUCCUUUCUUUUAUUGUUACCUCCUUUAAAUGUUACCAAAUGUCUAAAAUAAUGCAAACCACCAAUGCAAUAGGUAUAUAUUUUCCAAACAGUGUGAGUAAUGACUGUGGAUCAUAACAUUUUUUUUUCUUUUAUGUGUUUGAGCUUUUAGUUUCAGUGUUUUUGAUGUUAACUGUUAUUACCAUCAUUAUUUC
Molecule: long non-coding RNA, 581 nt
Organism: Schistocerca piceifrons (Central American locust)
Lineage: Eukaryota; Metazoa; Arthropoda; Insecta; Orthoptera; Acrididae
Exons: 3
Source: RefSeq, a predicted model, not a curated record